Lemur catta (Ring-tailed lemur) is the source of this 621-nucleotide long non-coding RNA. RefSeq lists it as uncharacterized. The record is from RefSeq and is a predicted model, not a curated record. The transcript has 3 exons. NCBI's taxonomy places the organism in Eukaryota, Metazoa, Chordata, Mammalia, Primates, Lemuridae.
GGGACAGAGUGUGGAGGUCAGUUAUGAGACUACUACAAUGAUCCAGGCAAAGAUGACAGUGGCUCAGAUCAAGGCCCCGGAGAAGAGUGUCCAGAGAGCAGUGGGAGCCAAGCAGAGGGAGUGGUUAAUUCUCCCUGCCCUGGAGAUCAAAGGCCUCACAGAGGAAAAUGCAGAGCUUGACCUUGAGGGGCCACCGAGUCUGGCGAGAAAGGAUGUAUCACAUUGAUUGGGAUGUCAGUGAUGCAGGCAUGUCAGCAUGGAGAAGGAGCCAGAGCACAACCUUGGUGGAGGCUAGAUAGCUGCACCUGAGGCAACAUUCCCGGUUUCCCAUGACCUACGCAGACCAUGUACUGCAAGUAGAAGUUUCCAUGUGCCAUGUUGAAGGGCACCAAGAUUUAGAAGACAUAGUGUAUUCUCAGGUCCACAGUCUCCUGUGAGUGGUGCCAGAAUGGCCACACCAGCACCAUGUGAUCCUUGGAUCUCUCCUCCACCACCACAAGUCACAUAAACUUUGUGCCCUAGAUAUCAAUAUACCGCUUUGGAAAUGUAUGGUGGGAGUUAGAGUGGGAAAUCAAAAAGAUUGAGCCAUUACCUGAAAUAGACCAGACCUGCUAAGACAGU